CAGCCGCCGCGGGAAUACGGAGGGUGCAAGCGUUAAUCGGAAUUACUGGGCGUAAAGCGCACGCAGGCGGUCUGACAAGUCAGAUGUGAAAUCCCCGGGCUUAACCUGGGAACUGCAUUUGAAACUGUCAGGCUGGAGUCUUGUAGAGGGGGGUGGAAUUCCAGGUGUAGCGGUGAAAUGCGUAGAGAUCUGGAGGAAUACCGGUGGCGAAGGCGGCCCCCUGGACAAAGACUGACGCUCAGGUGCGAAAGCGUGGGGAGCAAACAGGAUUAGAUACCCGUGUAGUCCCUGUCUAUUAUAC
This 301-nucleotide ribosomal RNA is filed under the name uncultured bacterium. RNAcentral's name for it is "partial 16S ribosomal RNA". It matches the Rfam family "Bacterial small subunit ribosomal RNA", at positions 509 to 807 of the family's 1533-position model. The record is from RNAcentral.